RNAcentral lists this small nuclear RNA (23 nucleotides) under Arabidopsis thaliana (thale cress). RNAcentral's name for it is "snRNA_05795". Lineage: Eukaryota; Viridiplantae; Streptophyta; Magnoliopsida; Brassicales; Brassicaceae. The record is from RNAcentral.
CAGGUCGCCGCUUGUCGACACUA